RNAcentral lists this ribosomal RNA (672 nucleotides) under uncultured bacterium. RNAcentral's name for it is "bacterial SSU rRNA". It matches the Rfam family "Bacterial small subunit ribosomal RNA", at positions 86 to 760 of the family's 1533-position model. The record is from RNAcentral.
GCGAGUACAGUGGCAGACGGGUGAGUAACACGUGAACGACCUACCCUUGAGUGGGGAAUAACACCGCGAAAGCGGUGCUAAUACCGCAUAAUAUCUUGUAGCUGCAUGGUUACAGGAUCAAAAGUGAGAAUUGCUUAAGGAGGGGUUCGCGGCUGAUUAGCUAGUAGGUGAGGUAACGGCCCACCUAGGCGACGAUCAGUAGCCGGCCUGAGAGGGCGAACGGCCACACUGGAACUGAGACACGGUCCAGACUCCUACGGGAGGCAGCAGUGGGGAAUUUUGCGCAAUGGGCGAAAGCCUGACGCAGCAACGCCGCGUGGAGGAUGAAGGCCUUCGGGUCGUAAACUCCUGUCGAUGGGGACGAAAGCCUAGCAAUAGGAUUGACUGUACCCGUUGAGGAAGCCACGGCUAACUCCGUGCCAGCAGCCGCGGUAAUACGGAGGUGGCAAGCGUUGUUCGGAAUUACUGGGCGUAAAGGGCGCGUAGGCGGCCUUACAAGUCAGAUGUGAAAGCCCCGGGCUCAACUCGGGAAUUGCAUCUGAAACUGUAAGGCUUGAGUUCUGGAGGGGAUGGUGGAAUUCCCAGUGUAGCGGUGAAAUGCGUAGAUAUUGGGAGGAACACCUGCGGCGAAGGCGGCCAUCUGGACAGUGACUGACGCUGAGGCGCGAAAGC